RNAcentral lists this ribosomal RNA (484 nucleotides) under uncultured bacterium. RNAcentral describes it as "partial 16S ribosomal RNA". It matches the Rfam family "Bacterial small subunit ribosomal RNA", at positions 28 to 507 of the family's 1533-position model. The record is from RNAcentral.
AUUGAACGCUGGCGGCAUGCUUUACACAUGCAAGUCGAACGGCAGCGCGGGCUUCGGCCUGGCGGCGAGUGGCGAACGGGUGAGUAAUGCAUCGGAACGUGCCCAGUAGUGGGGGAUAGCCCGGCGAAAGCCGGAUUAAUACCGCAUACGACCUGAGGGUGAAAGCGGGGGACCGAAAGGCCUCGCGCUAUUUGAGCGGCCGAUGUCGGAUUAGCUAGUUGGUGGGGUAAAGGCUUACCAAGGCGACGAUCCUUAGCUGGUCUGAGAGGACGACCAGCCACACUGGGACUGAGACACGGCCCAGACUCCUACGGGAGGCAGCAGUGGGGAAUUUUGGACAAUGGGGGCAACCCUGAUCCAGCCAUGCCGCGUGCGGGAAGAAGGCCUUCGGGUUGUAAACCGCUUUUGUUCGGGAAGAAAUCCUCUGGGCUAAUACCCCGGGGGGAUGACGGUACCGGAAGAAUAAGCACCGGCUAACUACGUG